Saccostrea cuccullata (small rock oyster) is the source of this 1374-nucleotide long non-coding RNA. RefSeq lists it as uncharacterized. NCBI's taxonomy places the organism in Eukaryota, Metazoa, Mollusca, Bivalvia, Ostreida, Ostreidae. The transcript has 5 exons. The record is from RefSeq and is a predicted model, not a curated record.
CAAUAUGUCAUAAAUAAUUCUUUAUACCUAAUGUAAACUUAUGUUGAAACAUUUUUGAAAAAAAAACAUUUAGGCACCCUAUUAAUUUAAUUUAUUCAUUUCUCAUUUUUAUUUAUUUAACCCUUAUGUACAUUUUUUCAAAACUGUGGAAUAUAACUUAGUUUUUCUCUAUGAUCGACUACUACUGUAGUACAAUUACAUGGGGAUCGAAGUCGGGCUCAAAAGCAAUUAAUUUAAAAACAACACACCGCGCCGAAAUUCAAUUUCUUGGAGAGUUCCACGCAGCCAUGUUGAACUUGAUCAUGAUGUUGUCAGGGGCGAAAGAGAGUGACACGAAAAGGAGAAGCAUGAUUAACUUUUGAUGUAAUUUCUGUUUUAACAGAAGAUGAAGACAUUUACGACCCUGUUUAGCGGUAGGAACAAUGUACAAAAUUUUAUCAUGUGUCCUUGAAUGAAUAAUUGCCUCUGCUACUGAUAAUGUUACUGUUCCUUAGUCUGGGCUCUACACAUAAAAUGCCUGGCAGUAAAAACGUUUGGGCAAGCGCUAUUUAGAUUUUGUAAUAAUUAUUUAACACUUUUAAUCAUCUCUCUUAAAGAUGGAUUUUAACCAGAAUUUUCUCGUUUGGUAUUGGUUUCAGAAUUUUAGUCACUAAAGUGUUCCUCUGUUCAGCAUUUACAGAGUAUGUUGUACAAUGUAAUAAAAUAUUUAUUUAUUUCUUGUGCAUACUCAAGAAUAUAUUCAGCACUUAUUUUGAUUAUUUAAAUAGUUGCAGUGGACUGUCCCUGAGACAAUUCCCCACAUCGCCGGCUAUGUAGACAGCAUGUGAAAAUGAAAUUGUGCCAGAAAAGUUUGAAGUAGCUAUGGGAAUGACCAACAUUGAACUUGCUGAGCCUUCCUUCUGAAAGUGACUUGACCAGAUAUUUGGCUACCCAGUAUGAGGUACGAACUAAUCAUUUGUUGUACGACUUAUUGUAUAUGAGAUUGCCACCAUUUACUAGAACUUUGCAUUUGCUGUCCACUUUAAAAACCUGCUAUCUACAGUUAUCUUUCUGCUACAUGAAAUAAAAUAUCGUGGAGGAACACAAAGGAAAGGGCUGUGCAUCUCAACAUAUUCAAGGUCAAGCAGCUUUUUACCAUAUCCAUAGUAUCUUGCUGCUAAAUGAAAGAAUUAAUGUGGAGGAGCAGAGAAAAGGGCACUACAACAUGUUCAAGGUCAAGCAGAAAUUAGGAGCUAAAUGUGCUUCUCCAGAGCUGAAAACUUCUUGGCAUGAAGAGAAGAAAAAGAAGAAGAAGCAGUUUUAAAUAUUGAUUACGUCUUCAUAGUACAAAAAAUGAUUCUAAAGAUAAUACUAUCUAUGAAAUUAGAAAACUGA